UACGUAGGGGGCGAGCGUUGUCCGGAAUGACUGGGCGUAAAGGGCGCGUAGGCGGCCUAAUAAGUCUGGAGUGAAAGUCCUGCUUUCAAGGUGGGAAUUGCUUUGGAAACUGUUUGGCUUGAGUGCGGAAGAGGCAAGUGGAAUUCCCAGUGUAGCGGUGAAAUGCGUAGAGAUUGGGAGGAACACCAGUGGCGAAGGCGACUUGCUGGGCCGUAACUGACGCUGAGGCGCGAAAGCGUGGGGAGCGAACAGGAUUAGAUACCCGUGUAGUCCCU
RNAcentral lists this ribosomal RNA (275 nucleotides) under uncultured prokaryote. RNAcentral describes it as "partial 16S ribosomal RNA". It matches the Rfam family "Bacterial small subunit ribosomal RNA", at positions 524 to 798 of the family's 1533-position model. The record is from RNAcentral.